Molecule: ribosomal RNA, 434 nt
Filed under: uncultured Lachnospiraceae bacterium
Lineage: Bacteria; Bacillati; Bacillota; Clostridia; Lachnospirales; Lachnospiraceae
Description: partial 16S ribosomal RNA
Rfam family: Bacterial small subunit ribosomal RNA
Source: RNAcentral
ACGGAAGGCAGCAGUGGGGAAUAUUGGACAAUGGGGGAAACCCUGAUCCAGCGACGCCGCGUGAGUGAAGAAGUAUUUCGGUAUGUAAAGCUCUAUCAGCAAGGAAGAAAAUGACGGUACUUGACUAAGAAGCUCCGGCUAAAUACGUGCCAGCAGCCGCGGUAGUACGUAUGGAGCAAGCGUUAUCCGGAUUUACUGGGUGUAAAGGGAGCGUAGACGGCAAAGCAAGUCCGAAGUGAAAUCCCGGGGCUCAACCCCGGAACUGCUUUGGAAACUGUUUAGCUAGAGUGCAGGAGAGGUAAGCGGAAUUCCUAGUGUAGCGGUGAAAUGCGUAGAUAUUAGGAGGAACACCAGUGGCGAAGGCGGCUUACUGGACUGUAACUGACGUUGAGGCUCGAAAGCGUGGGGAGCAAACAGGAUUAGAUACCCUGGUA